GACGAACGCUGGCGGCGUGCUUAACACAUGCAAGUCGAGCGGUAAGGCCCUUUCGGGGGUACACGAGCGGCGAACGGGUGAGUAACACGUGGGUGACCUGCCCUCCAGCUCUGGGAUAAGCCUGGGAAACCGGGUCUAAUACUGGAUAUGACUCCAUGACGCAUGUUGUGGGGUGGAAAGCCUUGUGCGGCUGAGGAUGGGCCCGCGGCCUAUCAGCUUGUUGGUGGGGGUGAGGCCUACCAAGGCGACGACGGGUAGCCGGCCUGAGAGGGCGACCGGCCACACUGGGACUGAGACACGGCCCAGACUCCUACGGGAGGCAGCAGUGGGGAAUCUUGCGCAAUGGGCGAAAGCCUGACGCAGCGACGCUGCGUGAGGGAUGACGGCCUGUGU
This 393-nucleotide ribosomal RNA is filed under the name uncultured bacterium. Its description in RNAcentral is "bacterial SSU rRNA". It matches the Rfam family "Bacterial small subunit ribosomal RNA", at positions 28 to 421 of the family's 1533-position model. The record is from RNAcentral.